RNAcentral lists this ribosomal RNA (499 nucleotides) under uncultured bacterium. RNAcentral describes it as "bacterial SSU rRNA". It matches the Rfam family "Bacterial small subunit ribosomal RNA", at positions 28 to 517 of the family's 1533-position model. The record is from RNAcentral.
GAUGAACGCUAGCUACAGGCUUAACACAUGCAAGUCGAGGGGCAGCAUGAACAAAGCUUGCUUUGUUUGAUGGCGACCGGCGCACGGGUGCGUAACACGUAUCCAAUCUGCCCGCGGCUCGGGGAUAGCCCAUCGAAAGAUGGAUUAAUACCCGAUGGUGUGGUUUCUCCGCAUGGGGGUUUCCACUAAAGGUUUUCCGGCCGCGGAUGAGGAUGCGUAUGAUUAGGUAGUAGGCGGGGUAACGGCCCACCUAGCCUUCGAUCAUUAGGGGUUCUGAGAGGAAGGUCCCCCANACUGGAACUGAGACACGGUCCAGACUCCUACGGGAGCAGCAGUGAGGAAUAUUGGUCAAUGGUCGAGAGACUGAACCAGCCAUGCCGCGUGAAGGUGACGGCCCUAUGGGUCUUAAACUUCUUUUGUAAGGGAGCAAUAAGUCUUACGUGUAGGAUGAUGAGAGUACCUUACGAAUAAGCAUCGGCUAACUCCGUGCCAGCAGCCG